Molecule: RNA transcript, 2878 nt
Organism: Prosopis cineraria
Lineage: Eukaryota; Viridiplantae; Streptophyta; Magnoliopsida; Fabales; Fabaceae
Exons: 5
Source: RefSeq, a predicted model, not a curated record
CGUCUCUUCUCGUCGUCGUGGUCGUUGUAUUCUUCUUCUUCUCUUUCAAAACAGAACCUCAUGCUCUUCCCCGCGGAAUUCGGAUGCUGAGGAAUACUCUUGAGCGCUUCCCAGAUUCGCAGGAUUUAAGUCGGAGAUGACAAAGACUGGAGAUUUUAUUGAGCGAUGAUAAAAAUGUUGGGGUACUAAAGAUGUUCAAGCCUCAACUAUCUCAUUCAAAUUCAAAUAAAUGAUCUAGUUGGGGAGACUCUGGCAUUCUGUGGGCUUUUGAAAAGUCGAUUUCAUUUGGAGCCUUUUCAUAUUAGUUUAUGUUCUGAAAGCACUUUUUUUACUGGAGUUCCAUUUUUCGGCGAGGGCAUGGGUCAUCCUGCUUCAAUUAAGAUAGCCAAGGAUUGAUGAAGAAAGAACUCAUUAGAUCAACAUUAAUCUUACGAGAGAUUUCUUUCCAAGCAAUGUUAUAAAAUAUUUUUGGUAUCAUUGAGGUCAUGGGAAAUCUCAUGGAACUUUAUCCGGGAUUGUAGUAAAUAUGGACAGAUCAGAUACAUCAGGCUUUGUGAGUGGUGGAUGCUGUAUGCUGGAAUUUCUUGGCCACCAUUGUAGAUCUUAUAGCUUCGCGUGGUGAAGCUUUUAGUGCCUUUAACCUAUUGUAAGGCACGUGACGCAGAAUGGAUCUAAACCAGAAAGGUAUACUGUAUUCUCAAGAUGCUGAACUCAAGAUAAGAGAUGACUUCAGUGAUGCUACAUUAUCCUUGAAUGGGUUAGGCUUUGGGGAAACCAAUACAACUAGCUAUAGCAGUAGUAAGAAGAAUGCUGGAUUAAAUUUCUGCAACGCUUCUGAUGAUGGAUGCAGGUUGGUUCUGGGAUUGGGCCCACCUCCAAGCACAUAUCGCAAUGAAUUCUUCAUUCUUGGGUCUAGAAAGAGGAAGGAAAGAGACUGUGUGCUUCCGCAAUGUAUGCCAUCUGAUAGUGAUUCAAUGCUGCAACUUGGUCUUUCUGGAGGAACUUAUGAGGCAUCAAGUGUUCUGGACAGCUCAGGUUCAUCUGAGAAUGAGAGUCUUUCAAGCCAAACAUCUGCUGAAAAUAACUAUUCUGCAGUUCCUGUUGUCGAUGAGGGUUCCACCUCAGCAAAGAAAUCAGGUGGCUACGUGGGUUCACUUCUACUGGCUUCGAGAACAGAUACUGCUAAAACUUCAUUGCCAACACAAGAAUUACCUAAUGCUACAAAUUGCUCACUUUGCCCUCCUUCAUCAUCAGAGAACCGAACAAGCAACUUCAGGAGAUGUAAUUUUCCUGGAUGUACAAAAGGAGCUCGAGGUGCUUCUGGAUUUUGCAUUGGACAUGGGGGUGGACAGAGAUGUCAGAAGCCGGGCUGUAAUAAUGGUGCUGAGAGCCGCACAGUUUAUUGCAAGGCUCAUGGUGGAGGGAGGAGGUGCGAACACUUGGGUUGUACCAAAAGUGCAGAGGGGAAGACAGAUUACUGCAUAGCACAUGGUGGUGGCAGGCGGUGUGAGCAUCCAGGUGGGUGCACCAAGGCUGCGAGAGGCAAGUCAGGACUCUGCAUUAGACAUGGGGGAGGCAAGAGAUGUAAGAUUGAAGGGUGCACAAGAAGUGCUGAAGGGAAGGCAGGGUUGUGCAUCUCUCAUGGUGGUGGACGCCGGUGUCAGUACCAAGGAUGCACGAAAGGUGCCCAAGGAAGCACCAUGUUCUGUAAGGCACAUGGUGGCGGAAAGCGUUGCUCAUUUGCCGGUUGCACCAAAGGUGCUGAAGGGAGCACGCCACUAUGCAAGGCACAUGGAGGAGGCAAACGCUGCCUCUUCAAUGGAGGUGGUAUAUGCCCCAAGAGUGUACAUGGAGGUACCAACUUCUGUGUUGCCCAUGGUGGUGGGAAGAGGUGUGCCGUGCCUGGCUGCGCCAAGAGUGCCCGUGGCCGAACAGACUGCUGUGUCAGGCACGGUGGGGGUAAACGAUGCAAGUUCGAAGGUUGUGAGAAGAGUGCUCAGGGAAGCACAGAUUUCUGCAAGGCCCAUGGCGGGGGCAAGAGAUGUGUUUGGGGUGAUGGUAAGUGUGAGAAAUUUGCAAGGGGUAAGAGUGGACUCUGUGCUGCUCACGGAAACUUGAUGAUGCAAGAGAGAGGAAGUCUGAUUGAUUCCAGACUCUUCCAUGGUCUUGUACCUUCUGCUUCCAUUGCUCAUAGUAGUUCUGAUGACAACAAUUCCUCCUCAGGGGUCAGUGUUGUUUCUGAGCACAACGAUUUAGCAAAAGAACCAGCAAAAUUGCAGCAUCUUAUACCAGAGGAAGUAUUGGUGCCGCUCUCCAUGAAGUCGUCAAUGUUGUCAUCAUCAUCUUCUCUUCCACGCUUCUUGGUUACCAAGAAGCCGGAGGAAUGUAGAAACAAGAAUAUUCUGGAGAAAGACAUUAAUUUUGAUGUCCCAGAAGGGAGGGUUCAUGGUGGCGGCCUGAUGUUACAUCUUGGUGGAAAUUUCAAGGAGGCAGCCAACGUAAUGUGGAGGAACUCAAUUGGCUCAAGCUUGUAGAUUCAUCUUAGGAAAUAGGGACAUGUUCAUCAUGAAAUUGUGAAUAAGGUUUCUGCUGCUUGUUCAGUAUCUUAUCUUGAUGGAUUGUGUUCUUCAAAGACUAGCGGUACGUUUGCUUCGAGGGAAUUCUUGGCUUAGGAAUGGGAAAAGCAAUGGGACAACCAACACCCAUGUUCGCUAAUGGAAGGUAUAACACUGUAGCUCAUGGGAAUAGUUAUGAAAUGUCCAAAUUGCCCUUGUGUGUAUGAUCAAACAAAGUAAUAUCAUUCUCGUUCCAUUCUCAUUUCUUUAUAUUUUUGGGAAAACAAAACUAUUUGUUUCUAUUAUUUUAGCAUGGUUUGUUA